CGCUGGCGGCAGGCUUAACACAUGCAAGUCGAGCGCCCCGCAAGGGGAGCGGCAGACGGGUGAGUAACGCGUGGGAAUCUACCCAGCUCUACGGAAUAACUCAGGGAAACUUGUGCUAAUACCGUAUACGUCCGAUAGGAGAAAGAUUUAUCGGAGUUGGAUGAGCCCGCGUUGGAUUAGCUAGUUGGUGGGGUAAUGGCCUACCAAGGCGACGAUCCAUAGCUGGUCUGAGAGGAUGAUCAGCCACACUGGGACUGAGACACGGCCCAGACUCCUACGGGAGGCAGCAGUGGGGAAUAUUGGACAAUGGGCGCAAGCCUGAUCCACCAUGCCGCGUGAGUGAUGAAGGCCCUAUGGUUGUAAAACUCUUUCCCCGGGAAAAAAAUGCCGGAACCCGAAAGAACCCCGGCUACUUCGUGCCACAGCCGCGGUAAUACCAAGGGGGCUAGCGUUGUUCGGAAUUACUGGGCGUAAAGCGCACGUAGGCGGAUUGUUAAGUUAG
This 502-nucleotide ribosomal RNA is filed under the name Mesorhizobium loti. RNAcentral describes it as "bacterial SSU rRNA". It matches the Rfam family "Bacterial small subunit ribosomal RNA", at positions 34 to 591 of the family's 1533-position model. The record is from RNAcentral. Lineage: Bacteria; Pseudomonadati; Pseudomonadota; Alphaproteobacteria; Hyphomicrobiales; Phyllobacteriaceae.